GGGAUUUAGCUCAGUGGCAUAAGCACCUGCCUUGCAAGCAGGCGGUCAUGAGUUCGAUCCCUUGUCCCA
RNAcentral lists this transfer RNA (69 nucleotides) under Cavia porcellus (domestic guinea pig). It matches the Rfam family "tRNA". Rfam says of the family: Transfer RNA (tRNA) molecules are approximately 80 nucleotides in length. Their secondary structure includes four short double-helical elements and three loops (D, anti-codon, and T loops). Further hydrogen bonds mediate the characteristic L-shaped molecular structure. tRNAs have two regions of fundamental functional importance: the anti-codon, which is responsible for specific mRNA codon recognition, and the 3' end, to which the tRNAs corresponding amino acid is attached (by aminoacyl-tRNA synthetases). tRNAs cope with the degeneracy of the genetic code in two manners: having more than one tRNA (with a specific anti-codon) for a particular amino acid; and 'wobble' base-pairing, i.e. permitting non-standard base-pairing at the 3rd anti-codon position. The record is from Rfam by way of RNAcentral. Lineage: Eukaryota; Metazoa; Chordata; Mammalia; Rodentia; Caviidae.